AGAACGAACGCUGGCGGCAUGCCUAAUACAUGCAAGUCGAACGAACUCUUCGGAGUUAGUGGCGCACGGGUGCGUAACGCGUGGGAAUCUGCCCCUUGGUUCGGAAUAACAGUUGGAAACGACUACUAAUACCGGAUGAUGACGAAAGUCCAAAGAUUUAUCGCCAAGGGAUGAGCCCGCGUAGGAUUAGCUAGUUGGUGAGGUAAAGGCUCACCAAGGCAACGAUCCUUAGCUGGUCUGAGAGGAUGAUCAGCCACACUGGGACUGAGACACGGCCCAGACCUCCGUACGGGAGGCAGCAGGUAGGGAAUAGUUGGAACAAGUGGGACGAAAGCCUAGAUCCAGCAAUCGCCGCGUGAGUGAGUGA
This 367-nucleotide ribosomal RNA is filed under the name uncultured soil bacterium. RNAcentral's name for it is "bacterial SSU rRNA". It matches the Rfam family "Bacterial small subunit ribosomal RNA", at positions 26 to 412 of the family's 1533-position model. The record is from RNAcentral.